AACGAACGCUGGCGGCAUGCCUAACACAUGCAAGUCGAACGAGACCUUCGGGUCUAGUGGCGCACGGGUGCGUAACACGUGGGAAUCUGCCCUUUGCUUCGGAAUAACAGUUAGAAAUGACUGCUAAUACCGGAUGAUGUCGAAAGACCAAAGAUUUAUCGGCAAAGGAUGAGCCCGCGUAGGAUUAGGUAGUUGGUGGGGUAAAGGCCUACCAAGCCGACGAUCCUUAGCUGGUCUGAGAGGAUGAUCAGCCACACUGGGACUGAGACACGGCCCAGACUCCUACGGGAGGCAGCAGUGGGGAAUAUUGGACAAUGGGCGAAAGCCUGAUCCAGCAAUGCCGCGUGAGUGAUGAAGGCCUUAGGGUUGUAAAGCUCUUUUACCAGGGAUGAUAAUGACAGUACCUGGAGAAUAAGCGCCGGCUAACUCCGUG
Molecule: ribosomal RNA, 433 nt
Filed under: uncultured bacterium
Lineage: Bacteria
Description: partial 16S ribosomal RNA
Rfam family: Bacterial small subunit ribosomal RNA
Source: RNAcentral